Molecule: ribosomal RNA, 162 nt
Filed under: uncultured bacterium
Lineage: Bacteria
Description: partial 16S ribosomal RNA
Rfam family: Bacterial small subunit ribosomal RNA
Source: RNAcentral
UGGGGAAUUUUGGACAACGGGCGCAAGCCUGAUCCAGCCAUACCGCGUGCGGGAAGAAGGCCUUCGGGUUGUAAACCGCUUUUAUCAGGGAAGAAAUCUUCUGGGCUAAUACCUCGGGAGGAUGACGGUACCUGAAGAAUAAGCACCGGCUAACUACGUGCC